GACGAACGCUGGCGGCGUGCCUAACACAUGCAAGUCGAGCGGAGAUGAUGUGAGGAAGUUUUCGGAUGGAAUCACAUUAUUUUAGCGGCGGACGGGUGAGUAACGCGUGAGCGACCAACCUUGCACAGGGGGAUAACGGACCGAAAGGUUCACUAAUACCGCAUGAGACCACGGUGUUGCAUGACACAGGGGUCAAAGGAGGAAUCCGGUGCAAGACGGGCUCGCGUCCGAUUAGGUAGUUGGAGGGGUAACGGCCCACCAAGCCUAUGAUCGGUAGCCGACCUGAGAGGGUGAUCGGCCACAUUGGAACUGAGAUACGGUCCAAACUCCUACGGGAGGCAGCAGUGGGGAAUAUUGGGCAAUGGGGGAAACCCUGACCCAGCAACGCCGCGUGAAGGAAGAAGGUUUUCGGAUUGUAAACUUCUGUCCUUGGUGAAGAGAAGAAGACGGUAGCCAAGGAGGAAGCCCCGGCUAACUACGUG
RNAcentral lists this ribosomal RNA (482 nucleotides) under uncultured bacterium. RNAcentral describes it as "bacterial SSU rRNA". It matches the Rfam family "Bacterial small subunit ribosomal RNA", at positions 28 to 507 of the family's 1533-position model. The record is from RNAcentral.